GCAGAGAUGGUUCAGUGGUAGAAUUCUCACAUUCCAUGUGAGAGUUCCAGGUUUGAUUCCUGGCCAAUGUA
This 71-nucleotide transfer RNA is filed under the name Loxodonta africana (African savanna elephant). It matches the Rfam family "tRNA". Rfam says of the family: Transfer RNA (tRNA) molecules are approximately 80 nucleotides in length. Their secondary structure includes four short double-helical elements and three loops (D, anti-codon, and T loops). Further hydrogen bonds mediate the characteristic L-shaped molecular structure. tRNAs have two regions of fundamental functional importance: the anti-codon, which is responsible for specific mRNA codon recognition, and the 3' end, to which the tRNAs corresponding amino acid is attached (by aminoacyl-tRNA synthetases). tRNAs cope with the degeneracy of the genetic code in two manners: having more than one tRNA (with a specific anti-codon) for a particular amino acid; and 'wobble' base-pairing, i.e. permitting non-standard base-pairing at the 3rd anti-codon position. The record is from Rfam by way of RNAcentral. Lineage: Eukaryota; Metazoa; Chordata; Mammalia; Proboscidea; Elephantidae.